GCCGGGCAUGGGGGCGCGUGCUUGUAAUCUCAGCUACUCGGGAGGCUGAGGCAGGAGAAUGGCUUGAAUCCGGGAGGCGGAGCUUUCAGGGAGCGGAGAUCACUCCAUUACACUCUAGCCUGGGUGACAGAGCGAGACUCCGUCUAAAAAAAAAAAAAAAUUAUACACUGAGGUUGCUAAGAUUACAGUAAGAAUGAAUCUUUUUUUUUUUUUUUUUUGAGAGGGAGUUUCGCUUUUGUUGCCCAGGCUGGAGUGCAGUGGCGUGAUCUCGGCUCACUGCAAGCUCCGCCUCCCGGGUUCACGCCAUUCUCCUGCCUCAG
RNAcentral lists this small RNA (320 nucleotides) under Macaca mulatta (Rhesus monkey). RNAcentral's name for it is "Metazoan signal recognition particle RNA (ENSMMUG00000059935.1)". The record is from RNAcentral. Lineage: Eukaryota; Metazoa; Chordata; Mammalia; Primates; Cercopithecidae.